AGAGUUUGAUCCUGGCUCAGGAUGAACGCUGGCGGCGUGCCUAACACAUGCAAGUCGAGCGAUUCUCUUCGGAGAAGAGCGGCGGACGGGUGAGUAACGCGUGGGUAACCUGCCCUGUACACACGGAUAACAUACCGAAAGGUAUGCUAAUACGGGAUAAUAUAUAAGAGUCGCAUGACUUUUAUAUCAAAGAUUUUUCGGUACAGGAUGGACCCGCGUCUGAUUAGCUUGUUGGCGGGGUAACAGCCCACCAAGGCGACGAUCAGUAGCCGACCUGAGAGGGUGAUCGGCCACAUUGGAACUGAGACACGGUCCAAACUCCUACGGGAGGCAGCAGUGGGGAAUAUUGGACAAUGGACCGAAAGUCUGAUCCAGCAAUUCUGUGUGCACGAUGAAGUUUUUCGGAAUGUAAAGUGCUUUCAGUUGGGAAGAAGAAAGUGACGGUACCAACAGAAGAAGCGACGGCUAAAUACGUGCCAGCAGCCGCGGUAAUACGUAUGUCGCAAGCGUUAUCCGGAUUUAUUGGUCGUAAAGCGCGUCUAGGCGGUUUGGUAAGUCUGAUGUGAAAAUGCGGGGCUCAACUCCGUAUUGCGUUGGAAACUGCCAAACUAGAGUACUGGAGAGGUAGGCGGAACUACAAGUGUAGAGGUGAAAUUCGUAGAUAUUUGUAGGAAUGCCGAUGGGGAAGCCAGCCUACUGGACAGAUACUGACGCUAAAGCGCGAAAGCGUGGGUAGCAAAACAGGAUUAGAUACCCUGGUAGUCCACGCCGUAAACGAUGAUUACUUAGGUGUUGGGGGUCGAACCUCAGCGGCCCAAGCUAAACGCGAUAAAGUAAAUCCGCCUGGGGAGUACGUACGCAAGUAUGAAACUCAAAGGAAAUUGACGGGGACCCGCACAAGCGGUGGAGCAUGUGGUUUAAUUCGAAGCAACGCGAAGAACCUUACCUAGGCUUGACAUCCUUCUGACCGAGGACUAAUCUCCUCUUUCCCUCCGGGGACAGAAGUGACAGGUGGUGCAUGGUUGUCGUCAGCUCGUGUCGUGAGAUGUUGGGUUAAGUCCCGCAACGAGCGCAACCCUUGUCUUUAGUUGCCAUCAUUUAGUUGGGCACUCUAGAGAGACUGCCAGGGAUAACCUGGAGGAAGGUGGGGAUGACGUCAAAUCAUCAUGCCCCUUAUGAGCAGGGCUACACACGUGCUACAAUGGCAUAAACAAAGGGAAGCAAUCGCGCGAGCGUGAGCAAAUCUCAAAAAUAACGUCUCAGUUCGGAUUGUAGUCUGCAACUCGACUACAUGAAGCUGGAAUCGCUAGUAAUCGCGAAUCAGAAUGUCGCGGUGAAUACGUUCCCGGGUCUUGCACUCACCGCCCGUCA
This 1371-nucleotide ribosomal RNA is filed under the name uncultured bacterium. RNAcentral describes it as "partial 16S ribosomal RNA". It matches the Rfam family "Bacterial small subunit ribosomal RNA". The record is from RNAcentral.